GCAUUGAUGAUAAUCUUGAAAUGGUUGAAUUUCUAAUCGAACAUGGCGCUGAUAUAAACAGACAAGAUAAUGAAGGCUGGACGCCGCUGCAUGCCACCGCCUCAUGUGGCUUCGUGAGCAUAGCCCGCUAUUUGGUGGAGCAUGGCGCCGAUCCGGCCGCUGUAAAUAGCGACGGUGACUUGGCCGUGGACUUGGCUGUCGAUAUACAACAUUUGGCGAUGAUGGAUUUCAUGCAAAAGGUGAUGACUGAACACAAUAUCGACUGCGAGAAGGCGCGACAGGCGGAGGAGCAGCUAAUGCUGAGUGAUGCCAAGAAAUGGUUGCGCAGCGAUGCGUCCGAAGUGGAUCGGCCGCAUCCGAAAACAGGUGCCACAGCGCUGCACGUAGCCGCAGCAAAGGGCUAUACAAAGGUUAUAAGUUUACUACUCGCCGGUCGCGCUAAUGUUGAUAAACAGGACAAUGACGGCUGGACGCCGUUGCAUGCUGCAUCACAUUGGGGUCAAAAGGAGGCCGCCGAUAUGUUGGUCAAUGCCAUGGCCGAUAUGGAUAUACGCAAUUAUGCCGGUCAGACGUGCAUCGAUGUGGCCGAUCGUAAAAUGGCGAAAUUCUUGGAGGAAUUGCGUAGCACCAGCAACAAACGUGUCAAACGUCGUCCUUCUAGUCAAAUCAGAAUCUCAGAUAAAAUUGAAAAUCACAUUGAAAAUACGCCAACGAAAAUCAUACGAGUGGAAGUGAAAUCGGAUCAGUCAAAGGAUCAAGCGAAUGCUUCCAUAACCGAAAAUGAACUGCCAAUGAUUGAUAGUAGUGAUCAGCUGGAGCCUCAUAAUCUGGCGCGUAUAGCAGAGUAUGAUGAAACUGACUCUGAACUCACCGACUCAACAGAGAGCUCACACUCGACCAGCCUAUCUGAACCUGAAGAUGAGAAAUCAAAACAAUCGCAUGAAACUGUCAAACCAUCCGCCGUUGCUACAACAGACAACCAAACGGUUGAGGAUGAAGCGCCAUGGCGACGCAACAGCUUGGCAAGAGCGCGCACACAAAAUGAAAGUCCAACGAAAAUUCAAGUUCCUGAAAAAGAUGUUAGUAAAACUAACAACACCACAGAGACAUCAGAUGUUAUUUUAAGACGCACUCAGAGCUUCGAGCAUGAUGAGAAAACCAUUUCGACGAACACGUCGUCCACAUCGAUAACGGCGGCGUACACAACAAGCACACCAACAACAGCUGAUUCGACUACGUCAAUAACGACAACCGGCAGCACCACCACCACACCGUCGACAACUACAACUACAACACCGAUACGCAGAUCCUUUGUGCCACCCGUGCGUGACGAGGAGAGCGAAACCCAGCGCAAGGCACACGCCAAACGCGUGCGUGAGACGCGUCGCUCCACACAAGGUGUCACGUUGGACGAAAUCAAGAGCGCCGAAGAGUUGGUCAAGAAGAAAAACUCAAAUAUGAACAACAACAAUAACAGCAGCAGCAAUGAAACGCAAGUAGCCACAGCAAUAGCAGGAACAAUACCAACAACAUCCGAACAACAAGAAGUUGAAGCUAUUGAGCCGCCACACACGGAACCGUCAGUAGCUGCCACACAAACGCUGCCAACCACAGAAACGCCGCUCGCGUCGCAGAGCCAAAUCGCGGAUGGCGAUGAAACAACGAUCACAGAGCAACAAGCCAGUCGUGCAGAUUGCACGCCAGCAGAGGAGAGUGAUAGGGAGGAGGAGGAAGAGAAAGAGUGUGAUCAGCAGGAUGAUGAAGCUGCUGUGGACAAUGAUGGCGAGGAUGUUUCCGCCUCUUUCACAAUUGUGGCGCCAACUCGAAAGAAUUCUAGUACGAAGGCAACAAUGCUAGAUGAUACCACAACGGAUGAUGCCACAACCACCGAUGACAACGAUGAAGAGGUGAGUGCCACAUACACGUUGACACCGCGUCAUUCGUUUGUCGGCAGCGCUGCACCCACCGAAACUGUGGAAACGACGAUAGUGGUCACGCCACCGGAAAUCAUAAUCAAUGAAAGCGAUUUAGAUAGCGAAACGGUACGAAAAAAAGCCGAGACAUAUGAAAUGGAGGAUGAAAAUGUGCCUGAGAGUGCGAACCAGCUUGAGAUUGAUGUCGACGUUGAGAAUGAGAAUGCGGAUGAGUCAAGCGAGUCUGAACAGCAGAACGAGAACGAAGAGGCGACAGAAAUAGCAAAUUUAAUCAAGGUCGAAGAUGUGCAGGCCGUGCUAGAGGCGGACGAUGAAGAAGAAUUGCUAGAAGAGAAGGCGGUGGACGCCGAAGAGGAGGUGGAAUCAGAUGAUAGUGAAAUUGUUGAAAUUAACGAGUUUGAAAAUGAAAAGACUGAAAGCUCUGCCACCAAAGAGUUGGCUACUAAUGAAAUAAGCGCUCCUAAAUCACACAUAUCCACGGGCAACAGCUCAGUCGAGUUACCGUCAGUUACACAAACUGAACGUGCACGCCAUAACACAUUAAUUCCAUUGCCGCUGGUUGGCGUGGCGUCAACUAGUGUGGCGCAUGCCACAGAUGCUACACCGGCCACGCCCACCAGCACGAGCGCGAAUACGCCCACACUCGAAAGUCCUGUGCGCUUGCGCGACAAGCGUAUACCUUACGACCCGGACAGCAACAAUGCCUUAACGUUAGCCGAACGCCUACGUUACGAAGCGAGCAAAUACAGCGCUGUCGGCGAUAGUGACGAAUCGUCGUCAUCGUCGACGGUCGUUAGUAAAACACGUUCACUACCACCAGCGUCGCUGGCAAGUGAUGCCGAUGCCAUCAAUGAGCUAUCAACAAAUUACGGUAAAAUUUCACUCAGCAGUCGUCGCAGCUUGGACUCAUCCUCACUGUCAUUGCACGGCAACAACGAGAGCCAAGCGGCUCAGGCGUCAUCUAAUGACACCCAAACCUUACAAAGUGCUAUCAGUAGUAUUAGUAGUUGUAGUAGCGGUAGCGGUACAGCGUUUGUGGCAACUACAACAACAGCGACGGCGCCGAGCAGCAGCAACAGUAGCAAUAAUAGUACAAUGGCUGAGCGACGUCCUUCUUGGCGUUUGAAAUUCGAUGCUGGCUGUAAGUUCAAAUUGGAAGAUGCAUCGAGUGGGAAUACAUUUCCGCCAAAUAACAGCACAAUUAUACCGAGCGCGCCAGCUGUUAUUGCCGCUGCCAAUUUAUCGUCAACCAUAUCACAACGGCGCAUCAACAGUAAUUCAUUGAACUCGUCGAAUCAGUCGUUGAACUCAAUUGGACGACCUGUGUCCGCACCAGUCAAUGCCACCACAUCCACCACAUUACUCAGCAAUGAUACUCACAGCGAGGGUGUUAGCAUUUUCGGCCGACGACUCACCGGUGGCAGCACCAAUAGCACUUAUAGCAGCAGCGCCACAACCCCAGCAGCUACCACGACAACGUCUACUGCAUCCACAACAACAGCUAACGUCACAGCCGCCACGGCUAAUUCGGCGUCUAAAACUAACGACGAUAAAGAUAAUGACAAAGAAAAUGAUAACCGCAAUUUGGCAGCUCAAUCGGCUAUACAACGAAGAAGGAAACCAAAACGAAGAUCCACCGGCGUUGUGCAUAUCGAUAUGGAUGAGCUCGAUCCAGAGCGGCAAGAUUCAGCAAACGAUGCGGAAGAGAAAGAUAAGGAGAAAGAGAGUGGCGGUGAGCGCGGCGCAUCGCGUUCACGUUUGAGCAGCACCACUAAUGCCAACACCAACGCAAACUCCACGACAGACGAGAAUAAAGCACGUGAUAGGUCAGAGAAUGGCGAAGCCAUCGACUACAAGGCUCUAUGGGAGGCUGUAAAAUUGGAGAAUGACAAGCUCAAGCAGCAGCUUAAGAAGAAAGAUGAUGAAAUCGUACAAAGUAGAGCAACACUCGAAAGAUUUACAAACGCAACAACUAAAAACUCACUCUCAGAGCUUGAAAAACGCGAAAGGAGAGCAAUGGAACGCAAACUUUCCGAAAUGGAAGAAGAGUUAAAGCUAUUGCAGAAGCUAAAGACUGAGAAUGAGCGUUUGCGUGCGGAGAAUCGCGCUCUCACGCGUGUCGUAUCCAAGUUGACCACCUCAGCUCAAAGUCAACUAGCUAAAAAAUCAAAAUAAAUUUAAUAAAUUCCUGAAAAAAAUUAUAAAAAAUUAAUUAAUUGUGAAUUAUAUACGCUAUAGACUAAGGAAAUGAGUAGUUGAAAAUUUGUUCACGAAUUGCGAAAUAUGUCUAAAGAUAAGUGUUCAUUAAAGAAAAGAGAAAGAAGCGAAUGUGCUACAGUAUUUAAGCUCGCAUUAGACUGGAGUAUUUGCACUGACACAAUGCGAUCACAGCUGAUGGAAAUUAUCUGCAUUACCGUUAUAAUCAAAAGUAACUAAAUAGAAAAUAACAAACCGCAUAGUAAGCUGUAAACAGUUUGAAAAUAAAGGCUCGCAUAGUACCCAAAAUUUUGGUUGUCGUGUAAAAGUAAAGGACAGAACAAUUGCCGAUCGAAAAUUGAGAAAUCUCACUACGAAAUUGGUUUGAAACUUGGUUGGUUUGGAAUUUGCAGCAAUACAUCACUGAAUUAUUGAGCGAAUUCAGUAAUGAUUAUUGUACGCCUGGAGCACAAACGGAGUAAGCUAAGUGAGAGAGAGAGUAACACUUACUAUCAUCUAGUAAAGCAGUGAAUUAGCGUUCGAAAAGAGUUAAGCGGCAGUUUGUCACGUGCCAAGCUACAGUAUCGCCGCACUUUGCAGUUUUCAUUGCUCAACAAUUGCUCGUAUACUCAUAGUUAUACUACAUACAUACAUACAAUAUUUAAAAGAUUAUAGUAAUUUAAUAUCAUAACCGCACAAUAAUCGAAUAAAACUAGUUGAAAUGAUUAUAAAGUGUAUUUAAUUAAGUGGAAGGUUAUUUAAAAACAAAAUCGCUCAGCGCAUAGCAUUUGAAGUAACGUUGAAUUCUUUAGCAUGUAAAAAAAUACUGGAAAAUUAAUCGAAAUUCAUCUCGAAGGCAAAAAAAAAAAAAUAAAGCUUCGUCUCCAACAGACAACGCGUAGCACUUUUCAGCUUUGGUUUCAUACAAAAUUAUUUUCAUCUUUAAACAACAACAGUCUCGACGUUGACUAAAUUCGAGGGUUUCCACUUACUUCAAAAUACUUAAUUAAAAUUUAUCUCAAAGGAAGAAAAUCUUUAAACAACAACAGUCGCGACGUCGACUAAAUUCGAAAGUUUUGACUUGUGGUUCCACCUACUUCGCAUUUACGCCGCAAUUGGAAGUUUACAAAACGGAGAAUCAACGCCUUAAAGAGGAAAACGGAGCGCUAAUUAGAGUAAUUA
RNAcentral lists this unclassified non-coding RNA (5312 nucleotides) under Bactrocera tryoni. RNAcentral's name for it is "protein phosphatase 1 regulatory subunit 12A, transcript variant X1". The record is from RNAcentral. Lineage: Eukaryota; Metazoa; Arthropoda; Insecta; Diptera; Tephritidae.